CCCUUAGAUGUUCUGGGCCGCACGCGCGCUACACUGAUGCAUUCAACGAGCCUAUCCUUGACCGACAGGUCCGGGUAAUCUUUGAAUCUGCAUCGUGACGGGGAUAGAUUAUUGCAAUUAUUAAUCUUCAACGAGGAAUGCCUAGUAGGCGCAAGUCAUCAGCUUGCGUCGAUUACGUCCCUGCCCUUUGUACACACCGCCCGUCGCACCUACCGAUUGAAUGUUUCGGUGAAGAUUCCGGACCGUGGCGAGCGCGCUUCACGGCGCUCUUGCCGUGGGAAGUUAUCUAAACCUCAACAUUUAGAGGAAGGUGAAGUCGUAACA
This 324-nucleotide ribosomal RNA is filed under the name uncultured eukaryote. RNAcentral's name for it is "partial 18S ribosomal RNA". It matches the Rfam family "Eukaryotic small subunit ribosomal RNA", at positions 1470 to 1796 of the family's 1831-position model. The record is from RNAcentral.